Molecule: long non-coding RNA, 1534 nt
Organism: Pantherophis guttatus
Lineage: Eukaryota; Metazoa; Chordata; Lepidosauria; Squamata; Colubridae
Source: RefSeq, a predicted model, not a curated record
CGUUUCCGGAACCGGAAGUCUUUGUAAAGAAAGGCGCCCGAGGACUUCCGGCGGCAUGGAUGGUGAAAGGGGGUGCGCGUGUCUCUUCUCGCUCACAAUGAGGCAGGGGGAGAGGGAGGUCUCGCUGGGGGUCCCAUCACCUCACCUUCCUCGGCUUGGCUCAGCUGCGCCUGACUGGCGUUGUAGUCCAGGGUUUCCUGCCUGAGUAGGGGGUCGGACUAGAAGACCUCGAAGGGCCCUUCCACAACUCUCGUUCUUCUGGCGGCCUCGCCCUGGGAGGUUUGCGAGCGACGGGAUGUGCAGGAACCUCUACAAGGAAGGAGAUCCUGGAGCUUCUAUUAGACCAAUGUGGAGAGCAGUAGUAGCAGGAACACGGCAGGCAAAGAUGGCGUCCUUGGUCGGAGUACCCGCAACACGUUUUGUCAAAUUCCUGGAAGGCAAUGGAUGUCUCAUUGAGAACAGCUCCUUUGAGAGCCAUCUAUCCUGCAUCUAAGGAGAAGGUUCAGAUUAGGCCUCCCUCUUCAUCCUCCUCCUCCUAUCUUCACCACCACCAUCUGGUCAAGUAGGCCAGCGGUCCUGGUCUUAAGACUUUAAUUAGCCAUUACGACGCACUUCCUUCUAGAUUCCUUGAGUUGAAAUUGUUGCCUUGGCUGGAAAGAGGUUCUCCAAACGACGAGCAGCUCAAACCAGAAGAACCAGCGAAAGGAGCACGAGACGAAAGCGAGAGAGAUGCCGAGGGGAAGCAGCUUUGGGGCUCGGCCAUCGGCAGUCUGUAGAGCGAGGUUCUUCCGUCAACCACUUCCAGCUCUUCUUCAGGGUUGCGAGGUCUUACCCGCUCCACUUCCUGCGGGAUUGUUGGACAGGGCAUCCUUCACUUCCUCCAAUUGUCCCAUUUCCUCCUCAAACGAAGGGCAGGACGUCAUGUCUCCCGUCUUCACCCCUGCAUGCUGUUUUCUUACGCCAAGGCUGAUUUCUUGUGGUGCUGCAACACCUCCAGGGGCCCGUCUGCACACACCUGCUCCUUAAUCCGAGAGGGAGGAUUGCAAGGGCCAGGAGUAUCUUCCUCCUCGGCCAAGGUCAUCGCAGUAGGAACGUGGUUUCUGCAGCUCUCCUCUUAAAUUGCGGGUACCGUUUUUGGUGGCCGUAGCUUACAAUCUUAAUCCCCUUUUCGUCCCCUUGCUGGCCGGGUUUGCUUUCACGUCUACCUUCAUUCCCCUGCAGCUCCUGCCGAUACCUGGUCACCCCGUCGUAGUCUCCUCCGAUGCUUCAACAACGCGCUUUAUGCAGUCCCAUGGGGUCCGUGGGUGAGGAGGACGAGAGGCUGGCUGUUUUCUGUGUGUCUCAGUCCCCCACACAAGCACCCCCCCCUCUUGUGUAAUUCCUGCCCUCUAUGCCGUUCUUGCUCAUACUGGGCCAGGCUGCUAAGUCAGGCGGGUUGUAAAAAGAAUCACUGUUGGGUCAAAGAAGCGUUAUCUAUCUGCAAUUAAACAAUAAAAAGUAUGAGCCAAAAGGGUUCACAGUGCCUUUUCCAAAA